CCUAAAGGUCUUCCUAUGGGGACUGCAAGUGCAGGCCCUUAGGGAGACACAGAGAUGCCACCAAAGGACACAUAAGCGACAUAUGGGAUCUCUUGGGAAUUAUGCUAUAGGGAUUCCUAUAUUUCUCUCUCUUAGUAGCAGCAUGACCAGAUUUCAAAUAUAUGUAUGUACGUCUGCUUCGUUCUAUGUUCGUCAACCGAUGCCAAUUGCUAGCCGUAAACGGAUUAGGUUUUGGGGGCUAUUGCCCGUCGUGGCUCUGGUACAAAUCCCCUGCGACAGUCAACUGAAUGGAUAUAAGCCUAUG
Molecule: long non-coding RNA, 304 nt
Organism: Drosophila obscura
Lineage: Eukaryota; Metazoa; Arthropoda; Insecta; Diptera; Drosophilidae
Exons: 2
Source: RefSeq, a predicted model, not a curated record